GGCUUCCCUCUUUGGGGUGAUUGAUCGUGGAGCACCCCCAUCAAUUGCCCCGCAGAGGGUGGCC
Molecule: microRNA precursor, 64 nt
Filed under: Myotis brandtii (Brandt's bat)
Lineage: Eukaryota; Metazoa; Chordata; Mammalia; Chiroptera; Vespertilionidae
Description: mir-9242 microRNA precursor family
Rfam family: mir-9242 microRNA precursor family
Source: Rfam by way of RNAcentral